UAUACCUUUAAUGAUUGGUCCAGAGAGGCUAAGAAGGAUUAAAAGUUUUGUUUUAUGGAGAGUAUUAUAGUCUUUUGCGUCUGGCAAAAGACUUUUUAUUUU
Clostridium acetobutylicum ATCC 824 is the source of this 102-nucleotide non-coding RNA. Lineage: Bacteria; Bacillati; Bacillota; Clostridia; Eubacteriales; Clostridiaceae. The record is from Rfam.